This 71-nucleotide transfer RNA is filed under the name Phrynosoma platyrhinos (Desert horned lizard). Its description in RNAcentral is "tRNA-OTHER". The record is from RNAcentral. Lineage: Eukaryota; Metazoa; Chordata; Lepidosauria; Squamata; Phrynosomatidae.
GCCAGCAUGGCAUAGUGGUUUGAGUGUUGGACUCCAACUCUGGAGAUCAGGGUUCGAGUGCCAGCUUGGCC